This 405-nucleotide ribosomal RNA is filed under the name uncultured bacterium. RNAcentral describes it as "partial 16S ribosomal RNA". It matches the Rfam family "Bacterial small subunit ribosomal RNA", at positions 30 to 526 of the family's 1533-position model. The record is from RNAcentral.
AUUGAACGCUAGCGGGAUGCUUUACACAUGCAAGUCGAACGAGUGGCGGACGGGUGAGUAAUAUAUCGGAACGUGCCCAGUAGCGGGGGAUAACUACUCGAAAGAGUGGCUAAUACCGCAUACCAUUCGAGCGGCCGAUAUCGGAUUAGCUUGUUGGUGGGGUAAAGGCUCACCAAGGCGACGAGCCGUAGCUGGUUUGAGAGGACGACCAGCCACACUGGGACGGAGACACGGUCCAGACUCCUACGGGAGGCAGCAGUGGGGAAUGUUGGACAAUGGGGGCAACCCUGAUCCAGCCAUCCCGCGUGUAUGAGAAGGCCUUCGGGUUGUAAAGUACUUUUAGCAGAGAAGCGGUAUCUGCAGAAGAAGCACCGGCUAACUCCGUGCCAGCAGCCGCGGUAAUAC